UACGUAGGGUGCGAGCGUUGUCCGGAAUUAUUGGGCGUAAAGAGCUUGUAGGGGGUUUGUCGCGUCUGCUGUGAAAAUCCGAGGCUCAACCUCGGACUUGCAGUGGGUACGGGCAGACUAGAGUGUGGUAGGGGAGACUGGAAUUCCUGGUGUAGCGGUGGAAUGCGCAGAUAUCAGGAGGAACACCGAUGGCGAAGGCAGGUCUCUGGGCCGAUACUGACGCUGAGGAGCGAAAGCGUGGGGAGCGAACAGG
RNAcentral lists this ribosomal RNA (253 nucleotides) under uncultured bacterium. RNAcentral's name for it is "partial 16S ribosomal RNA". It matches the Rfam family "Bacterial small subunit ribosomal RNA", at positions 524 to 776 of the family's 1533-position model. The record is from RNAcentral.